CAUAUUAUCAACCUUAGUUACAUAAUAGUUUUAGUUUGUUAUAUUUAUACAACAUUGUAGUUUUGAGUUCAACACGCUUUAAGGUGCGAACAUGAUUACUGUUCAUCUCCCGUUCCGGCGGCAGUCGAUCUUUCUUUAGAUCAAACUGAAGAACUCCGAAAGGAGGUGAAGCGCUUGAAGAAGCAAGUGGAAGAGCUGUCUGUCCGUCACAGUUUUUGCUUGGGGCGUUUUGCUGCAUCUGACGAUGACAUACGGUUCUUUACUAGGUUUGUGACCUACAGUCAUCUCAUGGCGUUCUGGAGACUCAUUGAGCCUGCAACCAACAGAAUGGUUCGUGUGACAAGGGCAAAAGCAGCUACAAGAAGUGGUGAAGUUGGAGCAACAGGCAAUGCAUCUGGUCAAUCCCUAAUGUCGGCUGAUGAGGUAAGGAAGACGCAGUCCAUUGCUCGUCUGAGGGUCCACGUUGAGCGUCUCAUCCGCAGGGUGAAGCAACACAAACUGUUUGAUGCUGUCAUCCCUCUUUCAAUCACAGGAAGCAUAAACCAGCUAUACACUGUUGCUUGCCUUCUUGUCAACUACCAGAAUGGGCCCUUGGUAAAAGCAUGGGCAAUGGAUUAAAGACUUUGUAUGGGAUGGAUACAUUUUGAUUG
Molecule: non-coding RNA, 650 nt
Organism: Paramisgurnus dabryanus
Lineage: Eukaryota; Metazoa; Chordata; Actinopteri; Cypriniformes; Cobitidae
Source: RefSeq, a predicted model, not a curated record